CCUUCGAUAGCUCAGUUGGCAGAGCGGUGGUCUGUAGAAGUUGUGAUAGUUAUCCAUAGGUCGCUGGUUCGAAUCCGGCUCGAAGGA
Ciona savignyi (Pacific transparent sea squirt) is the source of this 87-nucleotide non-coding RNA. The record is from Rfam. Lineage: Eukaryota; Metazoa; Chordata; Ascidiacea; Phlebobranchia; Cionidae.